This 601-nucleotide ribosomal RNA is filed under the name uncultured archaeon. RNAcentral describes it as "bacterial SSU rRNA". It matches the Rfam family "Archaeal small subunit ribosomal RNA", at positions 63 to 669 of the family's 1478-position model. The record is from RNAcentral.
UGUAGCAAUACAUGGCGUACUGCUCAGUAACACGUGGACAACCUGCCCUUAGGACGGGUAUAAACCCGGGAAACUGGGUAUAAUUCCCGAUAGGUCUCGUCUGCUGGAAUGCAUCGAGAUCCAAAGCUCCGGCGCCUAAGGAUGGGUCUGCGGCCUAUCAGGUAGUAGUGGGUGUAGCGUACCUACUAGCCUACAACGGGUACGGGUUGUGAGAGCAAGAGCCCGGAGAUGGAUUCUGAGACACUAAUCCAGGCCCUACGGGGUGCAGCAGGCGCGAAAACUUUACAAUGCUGGGAACAGCGAUAAGGGAACCUCGAGUGCCAGGUUACAAAUCUGGCUGUCGUGAUGCCUAAAAAGCAUUAUAUAGCAAGGGCCGGGCAAGACCGGUGCCAGCCGCCGCGGUAACACCGGCGGCUCGAGUGGUAACCGUUAUUAUUGGGUCUAAAGGGUCUGUAGCCGGCCGGAUAAGUCUCUUGGGAAAUCUGGCAGCUUAACUGUCAGGCUUUCAGGGGAUACUGUCUGGCUCGAGGCCGGGAGAGGUGAGAGGUACUUCAGGGGUAGGGGUGAAAUCUUGUAAUCCUUGAAGGACCACCAGUGGCGA